AUUGAACGCUGGCGGCAGGCCUAACACAUGCAAGUCGAACGGUAACAGGAAGCAGCUUGCUGCUUCGCUGACGAGUGGCGGACGGGUGAGUAAUGUCUGGGAAACUGCCUGAUGGAGGGGGAUAACUACUGGAAACGGUAGCUAAUACCGCAUAACGUCGCAAGACCAAAGAGGGGGACCUUCGGGCCUCUUGCCAUCGGAUGUGCCCAGAUGGGAUUAGCUUGUUGGUGGGGUAACGGCUCACCAAGGCGACGAUCCCCAGCUGGUCUGAGAGGAUGACCAGCCACACUGGAACUGAGACACGGUCCAGACUCCUACGGGAGGCAGCAGUGGGGAAUAUUGCACAAUGGGCGCAAGCCUGAUGCAGCCAUGCCGCGUGUAUGAAGAAGGCCUUCGGGUUGUAAAGUACUUUCAGCGGGGAGGAAGGGAGUAAAGUUAAUACCUUUGCUCAUUGACGUUACCCGCAGAAGAAGCACCGGCUAACUCCGUGCCAGCAGCCGCGGUAAUACGGAGGGUGCAAGCGUUAAUCGGAAUUACUGGGCG
Molecule: ribosomal RNA, 543 nt
Filed under: uncultured Escherichia sp.
Lineage: Bacteria; Pseudomonadati; Pseudomonadota; Gammaproteobacteria; Enterobacterales; Enterobacteriaceae
Description: bacterial SSU rRNA
Rfam family: Bacterial small subunit ribosomal RNA
Source: RNAcentral